RNAcentral lists this ribosomal RNA (1418 nucleotides) under Salmonella enterica subsp. enterica. RNAcentral describes it as "partial 23S ribosomal RNA". It matches the Rfam family "Bacterial large subunit ribosomal RNA", at positions 1 to 1348 of the family's 2925-position model. Lineage: Bacteria; Pseudomonadati; Pseudomonadota; Gammaproteobacteria; Enterobacterales; Enterobacteriaceae. The record is from RNAcentral.
GGGUUGUGAGGUUAAGCGACCAAGCGUACACGGUGGAUGCCCUGGCAGUCAGAGGCGAUGAAGGGCGUGCUAAUCUGCGAUAAGCGCCGGUAAGGUGAUAUGAACCGUUAUAACCGGCGAUACCCGAAUGGGGAAACCCAGUGUGAUUCGUCACACUAUCAUUAACUGAAUCCAUAGGUUAAUGAGGCGAACCGGGGGAACUGAAACAUCUAAGUACCCCGAGGAAAAGAAAUCAACCGAGAUUCCCCCAGUAGCGGCGAGCGAACGGGGAGGAGCCCAGAGCCUGAAUCAGCAUGUGUGUUAGUGGAAGCGUCUGGAAAGGCGCGCGAUACAGGGUGACAGCCCCGUACACAAAAGCGCAUGUGCUGUGAGCUCGAUGAGUAGGGCGGGACACGUGGUAUCCUGUCUGAAUAUGGGGGGACCAUCCUCCAAGGCUAAAUACUCCUGACUGACCGAUAGUGAACCAGUACCGUGAGGGAAAGGCGAAAAGAACCCCGGCGAGGGGAGUGAAAAAGAACCUGAAACCGUGUACGUACAAGCAGUGGGAGCCCCACCACUAAGCCAGUGGUGAACUCCACAUACGCAUCCUUUGCUGAGGAUACGGUUAACGGAGCGAAAGCGACGUUCAACCGCAAAAGAAGCAGAGGGGGCUUAGUGGUGGGGUGACUGCGUACCUUUUGUAUAAUGGGUCAGCGACUUAUAUUCUGUAGCAAGGUUAACCGCAUAGGGGAGCCGCAGGGAAACCGAGUCUUAAUUGGGCGUUAAGUUGCAGGGUAUAGACCCGAAACCCGGUGAUCUAGCCAUGGGCAGGUUGAAGGUUGGGUAACACUAACUGGAGGACCGAACCGACUAAUGUUGAAAAAUUAGCGGAUGACCUGUGGCUGGGGGUGAAAGGCCAAUCAAACCGGGAGAUAGCUGGUUCUCCCCGAAAGCUAUUUAGGUAGCGCCUCGUGAAUUCAUCUCCGGGGGUAGAGCACUGUUUCGGCUAGGGGGCCAUCCCGGCUUACCAACCCGAUGCAAACUGCGAAUACCGGAGAAUGUUAUCACGGGAGACACACGGCGGGUGCUAACGUCCGUCGUGAAGAGGGAAACAACCCAGACCGCCAGCUAAGGUCCCAAAGUCAUGGUUAAGUGGGAAACGAUGUGGGAAGGCCCAGACAGCCAGGAUGUUGGCUUAGAAGCAGCCAUCAUUUAAAGAAAGCGUAAUAGCUCACUGGUCGAGUCGGCCUGCGCGGAAGAUGUAACGGGGCUAAACCAUGCACCGAAGCUGCGGCAGCGACGCUGAUGCGUUGUUGGGUAGGGGAGCGUUCUGUAAGCCUGCGAAGGUGGCCUGUGAGGGUUGCUGGAGGUAUCAGAAGUGCGAAUGCUGACAUAAGUAACGAUAAAGCGGGUGAAAAGCCCGCUCGCCGGAAGACCAA